GAUGAACGCUGGCGGCGUGCCUAAUACAUGCAAGUCGAGCGAACAGACGAGGAGCUUGCUCCUCUGACGUUAGCGGCGGACGGGUGAGUAACACGUGGAUAACCUACCUAUAAGACUGGGAUAACUUCGGGAAACCGGAGCUAAUACCGGAUAAUAUAUUGAACCGCAUGGUUCAAUAGUGAAAGACGGUUUUGCUGUCACUUAUAGAUGGAUCCGCGCCGCAUUAGCUAGUUGGUAAGGUAACGGCUUACCAAGGCAACGAUGCGUAGCCGACCUGAGAGGGUGAUCGGCCACACUGGAACUGAGACACGGUCCAGACUCCUACGGGAGGCAGCAGUAGGAAAUCUUCCGCAAUGGGCGAAAGCCUGACGGAGCAACGCCGCGUGAGUGAGGAAGGUCUUCGGAUCGUAAAACGCUGUUAUUAGGGAAGAACAAAUGUGUAAGUAACUAUGCACGUCUUGACGGUACCUAAUCAGAAAGCCACGGCUAACUACGUG
This 497-nucleotide ribosomal RNA is filed under the name uncultured bacterium. RNAcentral's name for it is "partial 16S ribosomal RNA". It matches the Rfam family "Bacterial small subunit ribosomal RNA", at positions 28 to 507 of the family's 1533-position model. The record is from RNAcentral.